CUAUAAACCUUCCCUGGUGACAUGAAGUCCCACACAUUGUUUGGGUUUGACAGACACCUCCUGCCCCCAUGGAAGAGAUUCCCAAACCCACAUAUUCACUCAACCAGGUGAAAAAGAUAGAUCAGUAUUCCCGACGUAUAUUUCCCUGCAUCUAUGGUCUCUUCGUUCUAUACUUCUUCAUUAGAUAUCAUGCCAUAGAGGGAGCUCUUUCUAUUGGAAAUGGCGACGAUUGAUCUUCAUGUGCUGAGAGUUAUAAUCGUAAUAAAUGAAAUCCCUUUUAUAAUAUCUUUUCUUUUUUUGUAUUUAUUUUCAUUUUAUAUCCAUUCCUUCUUUUCAUUUUCCCCAAAAAUUU
This is a long non-coding RNA of Eurytemora carolleeae, 352 nucleotides long. RefSeq lists it as uncharacterized. Lineage: Eukaryota; Metazoa; Arthropoda; Copepoda; Calanoida; Temoridae. The record is from RefSeq and is a predicted model, not a curated record. The transcript is spliced from 4 exons.